UACGUAGGUGGCAAGCGUUGUCCGGAAUUAUUGGGCGUAAAGCGCGUGUAGGCGGCUUUGCAAGUCGGGUGUGAAAUCCCUCGGCUCAACCGAGGAAGUGCGCCCGAAACUGCAGAGCUUGAGUACCGGAGAGGAUGGCGGAAUUCCCCAAGUAGAGGUGAAAUUCGUAGAUAUGGGGAGGAACACCGGUGGCGAAGGCGGCCAUCUGGACGGAUACUGACGCUGAGACGCGAAAGCGUGGGGAGCAAACAGG
Molecule: ribosomal RNA, 253 nt
Filed under: uncultured bacterium
Lineage: Bacteria
Description: partial 16S ribosomal RNA
Rfam family: Bacterial small subunit ribosomal RNA
Source: RNAcentral